CGGGUGAGUAAUGCGUAGGAAUCUACCUAGUAGUAUGGAAUAGCCAUUAGAAAUGAUGGUAAUACUGUAUAAUCCCUGCGGGGGAAAGAUUUAUCGCUAUUAGAUGAGCCUACGUUAGAUUAGCUAGUUGGUGAGGUAAUGGCUUACCAAGGCUGUGAUCUAUAGCUGGUCUGAGAGGACGAUCAGCCACACUGGAACUGAGAUACGGUCCAGACUCCUACGGGAGGCAGCAGUGGGGAAUAUUGGACAAUGGGCGAAAGCCUGAUCCAGCUAUGCCGCGUGAGUGAAGAAGGCCUUCGGGUUGUAAAGCUCUUUCAAUAGGGAAGAUAAUG
Molecule: ribosomal RNA, 332 nt
Filed under: uncultured Ehrlichia sp.
Lineage: Bacteria; Pseudomonadati; Pseudomonadota; Alphaproteobacteria; Rickettsiales; Anaplasmataceae
Description: bacterial SSU rRNA
Rfam family: Bacterial small subunit ribosomal RNA
Source: RNAcentral